This 77-nucleotide transfer RNA is filed under the name Aliarcobacter butzleri. RNAcentral's name for it is "tRNA-Leu". The record is from RNAcentral. Lineage: Bacteria; Pseudomonadati; Campylobacterota; Epsilonproteobacteria; Campylobacterales; Arcobacteraceae.
GUGUUUAUGUUAAUUAUGUUGUUUAAGGUUCAUUUGAAAUAAUACAGUCGCGAGUUCAAAUCUCGCUAACCGCACCA